AGCGAACGUUAGCGGCGCGCUUAACACAUGCAGGUCGAACGAGAAAGCACCUUCGGGUGUGAGUAGAGUGGCGGACGGGUGCGUAACACGUAGGUAAUCUGCCCUUGAGCGGGGGAUAACGUUUCGAAAGAGACGCUAAUACCCCAUAAGACCACAGACUGUCCGCAGUCAGUGGCCAAAGGAUGGGAGUCUUCGGACCCAUCCACUUAAGGAGGAGCCUGCGGCUCAUCAGCUUGUUGGUAAGGUAACGGCUUACCAAGGCUAAGACGGGUAGCUGGUCUGAGAGGAUGAUCAGCCACACUGGUACUGAAACACGGACCAG
Molecule: ribosomal RNA, 322 nt
Filed under: uncultured bacterium
Lineage: Bacteria
Description: bacterial SSU rRNA
Rfam family: Bacterial small subunit ribosomal RNA
Source: RNAcentral